RNAcentral lists this ribosomal RNA (301 nucleotides) under uncultured bacterium. RNAcentral's name for it is "partial 16S ribosomal RNA". It matches the Rfam family "Bacterial small subunit ribosomal RNA", at positions 509 to 807 of the family's 1533-position model. The record is from RNAcentral.
CAGUCGCCGCGGGAAUACGUAGGGUGCAAGCGUUAAUCGGAAUUACUGGGCGUAAAGCGUGCGCAGGCGGUUAUAUAAGUCAGAUGUGAAAUCCCCGGGCACAACCUGGGAACUGCAUUUGAGACUGUAUGGCUAGAGUGUGUCAGAGGGGGGUAGAAUUCCACGUGUAGCAGUGAAAUGCGUAGAUAUGUGGAGGAAUACCGAUGGCGAAGGCAGCCCCCUGGGAUAACACUGACGCUCAUGCACGAAAGCGUGGGGAGCAAACAGGAUUAGAUACCCCGGUAGUCCCUGUCUCUUAUAC